This 839-nucleotide ribosomal RNA is filed under the name Lygaeoscytus cimicoides. Its description in RNAcentral is "SSU rRNA". It matches the Rfam family "Eukaryotic small subunit ribosomal RNA", at positions 475 to 1221 of the family's 1831-position model. The record is from RNAcentral. Lineage: Eukaryota; Metazoa; Arthropoda; Insecta; Hemiptera; Miridae.
AAAUAACGAUACGGGACUCUUUUGAGGCCCCGUAAUCGGAAUGAGUACACUUUAAAUCCUUUAACAAGGAUCCAUUGGAGGGCAAGUCUGGUGCCAGCAGCCGCGGUAAUUCCAGCUCCAUAGCGUAUAUUAAAGUUGUUGCGGUUAAAAAGCUCGUAGUUGGUUCUGCGUGCUACGCUGCCGGUUCGCCGCCUGCCGGUGUAACUGGCAUGUCGUGGCAUGUCCUGUCGGUGGCGAAUGGAAGCCUUGUCUAGGUGACGGCCUGAGUCACAAGCUUGGUGCCGUAGGCCGGAGGUCAAACCCAUUCGCCUACUCUAUCCUACCUAGGUGCUCUUAAACGAGUGUCGAGGUAGGCCGACACGUUUACUUUGAACAAAUUAGAGUGCUCAAAGCAGGCUGAAAUCUCUGCCUGAAUAGUGGUGCAUGGAAUAAUAAAACAGGACCUUGGUUCUAUUUUGUUGGUUCUUAGGAACACAAGGUAAUGAUCAAUACGGACAGGCGGGGGCAUUCGUAUUGCGACGUUAGAGGUGAAAUUCUUGGAUCGUCGCAAGACGCACAAGAGCGAAAGCAUUUGCCAAGUAUGUCUUGAUUGAUCAAGAACGAAAGUUAGAGGUUCGAAGGCGAUCAGAUACCGCCCUAGUUCUAACCAUAAACGAUGCCAGCCAGCGAUCCGCCGAUGUUCCUCCGAUGACUCGGCGGGGAGCUUCUUCCCGGGAAACCAAAGCUUUUGGGUUCCGGGGGAAGUAUGGUUGCAAAGCUGAAACUUAAAGGAAUUGACGGAAGGCACCACCAGAGUGGAGCCUGCGGCUUAAUUUGACUCAACACGGGAAACUCACCAG